RNAcentral lists this ribosomal RNA (731 nucleotides) under uncultured fungus. Its description in RNAcentral is "eukaryotic LSU rRNA". The stretch from base 224 to 377 matches the Rfam family "5.8S ribosomal RNA". Lineage: Eukaryota; Fungi. The record is from RNAcentral.
CAAGGUUUCCGUAGGUGAACCUGCGGAAGGAUCAUUAAUGAAAGCAUUUGAAGCAGAUGUGAUGCUGGCCUUUUGGUAUGUGCUCCAUCUGUGACAAUAUCCGCUUAACCCCUUUGUGCACUUGUUAGAUAGGGUCUUGAAAGCCUUGAAAGAGGCAAUUGAGCUCUGUCUUUUACACACAAACACUGUAGUCAUUGAAUGUUUUGAAAUUUGGAAUUAAUACAACUUUCAACAACGGAUCUCUUGGCUCUCGCAUCGAUGAAGAACGCAGCGAAAUGCGAUAAGUAAUGUGAAUUGCAGAAUUCAGUGAAUCAUCGAAUCUUUGAACGCACCUUGCGCUCCUUGGUAUUCCGAGGAGCAUGCCUGUUUGAGUGUCUUGAAAUUAUCAACCUCUAAGGAUUUUUUGAUCUUUGGAUGUGUUGGACUUGGGUCUGUUGGCUUCAUUGUCAACUCUCCUUAAAUGCAUUAGUGGACGCGUGUCUUUGACGCAGUAGCGGUGUAAUAAUUAUUACCACUUGCGAACUGUCUUGGGCCUUUGCCGCUUCUAACCGUCCGUUAAGGACAACUUGAUCUCUUUGACCUCAAAUCAGGUAGGACUACCCGCUGAACUUAAGCAUAUCAAUAAGCGGAGGAAAAGAAACUAACAAGGAUUCCCCUAGUAACUGCGAGUGAAGCGGGAAAAGCUCAAAUUUAAAAUCUGGCGGUUUUGCCGUCCGAGUUGUAAUCUGGAG